Molecule: long non-coding RNA, 290 nt
Organism: Rhipicephalus microplus (southern cattle tick)
Lineage: Eukaryota; Metazoa; Arthropoda; Arachnida; Ixodida; Ixodidae
Source: RefSeq, a predicted model, not a curated record
AAGUGUUGCCCUGCAUGUGGGUCGAUGCAGUUUCAAUGAAUACGGCAAAGUUAUCGCAUGUUCAGGCUCUUUUCCUAGCAUUUGCGUUCACUUCUCAUAUAGGCUCGACGUACUGCAAUCAAUUGCAGUGGCACAUAGAGAUAGGCCUUUUCUUCGACACAAAUUAUCAUCCUCAUCCCCCUUCGACCGUAAGGAGUAUACGUGAAUAUUGUGAAGAAUUGUUCAACUCACUAUCAAGACGUCUCUCCCUCCUUGGUAGCGGACGUUUUGUCUUCUUCUUGGGUGGCCCU